UGGGAACGUGCCCAAAGGUACGGAACAACUCCGGGAAACUGGAGCUAAUACCGUAUGUGCCCGAAAGGGGAAAGAUUCAUCGCCUUUGGAUCGGCCCGCGUCUGAUUAGCUAGUUGGCGGGGUAAUGGCCCACCAAGGCGACGAUCAGUAGCUGGUCUGAGAGGAUGACCAGCCACACUGGGACUGAGACACGGUCCAGACUCCUACGGGAGGCAG
This 216-nucleotide ribosomal RNA is filed under the name uncultured bacterium. Its description in RNAcentral is "partial 16S ribosomal RNA". It matches the Rfam family "Bacterial small subunit ribosomal RNA", at positions 118 to 351 of the family's 1533-position model. The record is from RNAcentral.